ACUAGCACGUAAGUGCUCUGAAGGGUUGUUGAAGACGACGACGUUGAUAGGCGGGAUGUGGAAGCGUAGUAAUGCGUUGAGCUAACCCGUACUAAUUGCCCGUGAGGCUUAACCAUACAACACCGAAGGUGUUU
This 134-nucleotide ribosomal RNA is filed under the name Pseudidiomarina halophila. Its description in RNAcentral is "Idiomarina halophila partial 23S ribosomal RNA". The stretch from base 1 to 116 matches the Rfam family "Bacterial large subunit ribosomal RNA", at positions 2814 to 2925 of the family's 2925-position model. Lineage: Bacteria; Pseudomonadati; Pseudomonadota; Gammaproteobacteria; Alteromonadales; Idiomarinaceae. The record is from RNAcentral.